AUCAAUGAAUAAUUGUCAAAAUUUCUGUGGCCUUGGUAAGCAAGGCAGAGAAUUGAAUUGAAAACGUCAAUUCCAGUCAAUUGUUCUAUCUAAAAUUAAUAAAUAAAAGCCUUGAUGAGCAAGCUCAUAAAGGCAAGAGCUGCCUCUUAUAAAUUGCUGUGAAUUUGGCCCUUCCCAUUCCAGUGCUGCAACCAAAUAUUAGAGGCAUACAUUUCCUCUUUUUUACAAUUUUAUUGUUUUUGUUUUUAAAUUUUUAUAAUGUUAGUUUUAGGUUAUUUUUUAUGUUAUUUAAAUAAUAUACAAUUUUUUUUUUUUUUUGAAAAAAAAACAUUAGUGGGCAAUAGACUAUUAAGAGAGUGGACAAUGAUAAUAAUUAUUAUUAAUUAUACGCUGAAUAGUGCGUAGUGGCAAAAUUUGCCCAACCGACAUCGUCUGAGUCCACUCUUAAUUCAUGUUGUCUGAGUUAAUCAUUUAUUUCACUCACCUUUAAGUUUAAAAAAGCGAAACCUCACAGCCAAAAAAAAAAACAGGAAUUUCCAGCUUCAACAAUUAAAACUGCAUGAUUCUUCUCCUUUUUUCUGAUUGAUUAUAUAUCUGUGUAUAUAUAUAUAUACUGUAUAGUUAGUUGUGGGUAUCUUUGUGUUUGCAGGUCUUUCCAUGGCAGCUUGGUAACUGAAGGGAUGCUAACAACGCUGGUUAAAACAUUGGAUCUACAGGAGAUUAAUUGAGACUGGAUGGAGCUCCUGGUGCAUGCCUCCGAUUCUCGGGUUUUUUCUUGGCCUUCGCUCUUCGUUGUGUAAGCGCCACUGCUUAAUCCGGUGACACUGCAAGGUGCUGUAAUAGUUGAGAGAAUAAUGUCUUUUCGAAUUCCAAGCAGACAGUGAGUCCAUACUCAAGGAUGCUUCAGAGCCACGAGUUUUGUGGUGCAGCCUGAAAGCCUACUUUUUUUAAUGGGCUUGAGUGUUUAGUUUUGUCUAGGUUGUCUUUUUGUCUUUUUCGGCCGACACCCUAUUCCUUGAAUUGAGUCUUGUGCUUUUUACUACCUCCAUCAAUGAAAAAUCUACUAUAUUUCGGGGAAACAAAAGUUAAAAUUCAUUUUUUUUUUCACCUGUUUUCUGUUUCAUUUAGCUAAAAGAAGCUCCUCAAUUGUGCCUUUAUAGCUGCUGCCUACGUGCUUUGUUGGCGGCACGGAAUGAUUAUGAAACGGAAACAAAGGCAACAUUAAUCCAUUUUUGCUUUUGUUUUCUAAAAAUUUAUUUUAUGCAAUCUACAUGACAUCCACCAUAAGCAACGGCUAUAAUACAUUGGUUAAUAUCCAGACUGAAAAUGGAAAGUGUGCACGACUGAGCCAAC
RNAcentral lists this long non-coding RNA (1353 nucleotides) under Manihot esculenta (cassava). RNAcentral's name for it is "long non-coding RNA (MESC_LNC001365)". Lineage: Eukaryota; Viridiplantae; Streptophyta; Magnoliopsida; Malpighiales; Euphorbiaceae. The record is from RNAcentral.